This 1050-nucleotide ribosomal RNA is filed under the name Escherichia coli. RNAcentral's name for it is "partial 23S ribosomal RNA". It matches the Rfam family "Bacterial large subunit ribosomal RNA", at positions 165 to 1253 of the family's 2925-position model. Lineage: Bacteria; Pseudomonadati; Pseudomonadota; Gammaproteobacteria; Enterobacterales; Enterobacteriaceae. The record is from RNAcentral.
CAUAGGUUAAUGAGGCGAACCGGGGGAACUGAAACAUCUAAGUACCCCGAGGAAAAGAAAUCAACCGAGAUUCCCCCAGUAGCGGCGAGCGAACGGGGAGCAGCCCAGAGCCUGAAUCAGUGUGUGUGUUAGUGGAAGCGUCUGGAAAGGCGCGCGAUACAGGGUGACAGCCCCGUACACAAAAAUGCACAUACUGUGAGCUCGAUGAGUAGGGCGGGACACGUGGUAUCCUGUCUGAAUAUGGGGGGACCAUCCUCCAAGGCUAAAUACUCCUGACUGACCGAUAGUGAACCAGUACCGUGAGGGAAAGGCGAAAAGAACCCCGGCGAGGGGAGUGAAAAAGAACCUGAAACCGUGUACGUACAAGCAGUGGGAGCACGCUUAGGCGUGUGACUGCGUACCUUUUGUAUAAUGGGUCAGCGACUUAUAUUCUGUAGCAAGGUUAACCGAAUAGGGGAGCCGAAGGGAAACCGAGUCUUAACUGGGCGUUAAGUUGCAGGGUAUAGACCCGAAACCCGGUGAUCUAGCCAUGGGCAGGUUGAAGGUUGGGUAACACUAACUGGAGGACCGAACCGACUAAUGUUGAAAAAUUAGCGGAUGACUUGUGGCUGGGGGUGAAAGGCCAAUCAAACCGGGAGAUAGCUGGUUCUCCCCGAAAGCUAUUUAGGUAGCGCCUCGUGAAUUCAUCUCCGGGGGUAGAGCACUGUUUCGGCAAGGGGGUCAUCCCGACUUACCAACCCGAUGCAAACUGCGAAUACCGGAGAAUGUUAUCACGGGAGACACACGGCGGGUGCUAACGUCCGUCGUGAAGAGGGAAACAACCCAGACCGCCAGCUAAGGUCCCAAAGUCAUGGUUAAGUGGGAAACGAUGUGGGAAGGCCCAGACAGCCAGGAUGUUGGCUUAGAAGCAGCCAUCAUUUAAAGAAAGCGUAAUAGCUCACUGGUCGAGUCGGCCUGCGCGGAAGAUGUAACGGGGCUAAACCAUGCACCGAAGCUGCGGCAGCGAAGCUGAUGCGUUGUUGGGUAGGGGAGCGUUCUGUAAGCCUGUGA